ACAUCAUACUCUUUCCCAAGCUGUCUCUGCUCACUAGAGUUUGAGUCUGUCAGUGAUUCUCCUAUAUAGAAGGCAUAGCGGAUACAAAUUCAAGACAGGAAAGGGCAAGGUGGAGAAAUCAAGACCCCAACAGAGGGCUGACCCGGUUACUCAGCAAUGCUCUGGCAGAAACACACAAAAGAGUCCGUGGCUUGUGAUUCACAGGCCAAGACGUUGCCUUAGCGCAGCACUCCCCAUGUUGACGUGGAAGGUGGUAAUGGCAGUGAGCAAAAAAGUGAUCCAUGCACAGAUAAAUUUGUGAACGCCGGAUGAAACAAAGUUAAAAUAGGACCCAGCGGAUGAAGUGGACUGAACCACUGAAAUCUGAAACAUUGAUGAUCACUACAGCAAAGGGAAGAGCUCGGUAAAUUGUGCAUAUCGUUCUUGGAUCUUCCACCCAAAGUAACACUUUCACCUACAUUUAUUGGCCACGAGACAGGAUUGUGCCAUGUUGCCCAGGCUGGUCUGGAACUCCUGGACUCAAGUGAUCCACCCACCUCGACCUCCUAAAGUGCUGGGAUUACAGGCGUGAACCACUGUGUCUGGCCUCCGGGUGGUUUUAAGUGGGGACUUUUAUUUCUCACACAGUCUUCUGUAUAUUCUAUAUUUUCUACAAGAAAUAUAUAUUGCUUUUCUAAUCAGGAAAAAAAGUGAAUAUAUGCAUGUGCCUUUACAAAAUUGUUCUCAUUCUGCAGAUGAGUGAAACCAAGGUAACAGAUGGGAAGGAAAUGACUCACGUAAGAUCACACAGCAAUCGAUGUCACAUUAUGACAAUGUUCAGGAAACUGCAUUUCCAUUUUUGCACCCCACUCUCUUGGGUCUGAGUUACCCACAGCUUUUCUAACAAGAAUCUCGUUGGCAUCUGACUUGACUUGGGGACCUAGCACUACACUAUGCAGAAGGGGGCCCCCCUCAGACGCCCGGUAUCAGUUAGUUUGUGCUUAUCUGCAGGGGCUCACUGCUAUGGGAGUUUCAGAAGUAGAAGCCACAGUCCCUGUUCUCAAAAGGCUUACAGAUGGGUACUUACAGUUGCAUAUGAAACAGUGAUGUCAGUACUGUUGUGCAGACUCUGAAUGCUGUAAGAACAGCAGGGGAAGGAACUGGUUGUCAGAGGAGCAACCAAGAACCGUUGGCACAAAAUCUUUUUACCAGGGUUGUUCACAAAAGAAAAAAUGCUGGAAGCUCUGCUCCUUUUAAUUUCCCCCAGCUACCCUGUGUAGGCACCUGAAGGUAAACAGUAUGAAGGAGAAGGGGAUAGAAAUGCACAAGAUAGUUCUCAUUUUGCAUAUUCCAUAGUUCAUAGUAUUGAAGGUCUUCUUUGACAAACCCCACUGAAGUUUCUUGAUUUCACCUUCACCAUGGCUAAAAGCAGCAGCUCGCCCCCACACUUUGAUUUUUCCCUUCUGUACUUUCUCUUCCCCUUCUGUUUCUCUCGGUGAGGGGUCCAAAUUGGAAACUUUUUUUGUCCCACGGCCCACCAUAAGGGUUCGUUCUGUGAACCUCUGUCUAUUUCAUCCCUGCUUACCUAACAGCUCUUUCCCCAAGAACCAAACUUUAAGUUCCUCUCAGCAGCACAGUAAAUCUUCAGAGGCUAAUACCUGUUUUUUUUUCCUUGAGACGGAGUUUCGCUCUUGUUGCCCAGGCUGGAGUGCAAUGGCACAAUCUCGGCUCACUGCAACCUCUGCUUCCUGGGUUCAAGCGAUUCUCUCACCUCAGCCUCCUGAGUAGCUGAGAUGACAGGCGCCCGCCACCAUGCCCAGCUAAUUUUUGUAUUUUUAGUAGACACGGGGUUUCACCAUGUUGGUCAGGCUGGUCUUGAACUCCUGACCUCAGGUGAUCCACCCGCCUUGGCCUCCCAAAGUGCUGGGAUUACAGGUGUGAGCCACCAUGCCCAGCCCACAGACUAAUAUCUUUAAGGAACUUCUAGAAAUCAUCUCUGGCCGAGUCAUCCAGGCGUGAACAAGAGGUUCUGGGCUGAGAUCAAAGAGAACAAGGGGAAAAUUCAGCAGUUACACAGCCGGGCUCAUACUGAAGGGAUUGGCAUGAAUAUUAACAUCAACUCCAUUUACGAGGUUCUUUUACCCUGUGCCAGGCAGGUAAUUUGCUUGAUAUGCAUGAUCUGAUUUAAUUUAGUUCUCAUAGUGAUCUUUCUAAAGUAGGCACUAUGAUCCCAUCUUCACAGGCAGAAAGGAAGCAAAGUAAGUUGCUCAAAAACACAGCUAGUCAACACCCCCAGAAUGUACCAUGCCAAGAGUGAACUCUAAUGUAAACUGUGGACUUUGGGUGAUAAUGAUGUGUCAAUGUAGGUUCAAUGAUUGCAACAAAUGUACCACUCUGGUGUGGGAUGUUGACAAUGGGGGAGGCCAUGAGUUGGGGUGAUAGAGGAGAACUCUCUGUACUUUCUGAUUGAUUUUGCUGAGAACCUAAAACAGCUCUGAAAAACAAAGUCUAUUUAAACACACACACACACACACACACACACACCUAGUAAAUAGCAGGACCAGGAGUUAAGGCUAGGUCUGUCUCCUUAGGUGAUGGUGAGUUAUUAUCAACAACAUGUUGAACUCCACCGUACAGGUAGCAAUAAUGACGUGUAUGUGUGUGUGUGCAUGUAUUGAGGAUUGAGGGGAUCUGUGUUAAAAAAGAAAGAAUUGGAAGGAAGAAAUCUCAAAUUGAGUCCUGACUCCAUCACCAGCUGUGUGAUCCUGGACAGGACACUUUGGUUUUAGUUUCCUCAUCUAUAAAUUGCCACUGGAUCAUUGUGAAGAUCAAAUCAAAUAAAAUAUGUACAAAGUACUCUGAAAGCAUAAAGUAUUCUGAAAGC
Long non-coding RNA from Pongo pygmaeus (Bornean orangutan), 2863 nucleotides. RefSeq lists it as uncharacterized. The transcript has 4 exons. NCBI's taxonomy places the organism in Eukaryota, Metazoa, Chordata, Mammalia, Primates, Hominidae. The record is from RefSeq and is a predicted model, not a curated record.